UCCCAUAUUGUCUAUUGGUUAGGAUACCUUGCUCUCACCCAGGAAGCCUGGGUUAAAUUCCCGGUAUGGGAA
Molecule: non-coding RNA, 72 nt
Organism: Daphnia pulex (common water flea)
Lineage: Eukaryota; Metazoa; Arthropoda; Branchiopoda; Diplostraca; Daphniidae
Source: Rfam